GCAGGCCCGCUGCCCGCACCCCUCCUGGUGCUCUGCCCCAGCCGGGCCGAGCUGGACCGCUGGCUUUACCACCUGGAGAAGCAGACGGCCCUCCUCGGGGGGCCACAGCGCUGCCACUCGGCACCCCCACAGGUCAGUGCCAGGGACCCAACGCCCCUCCCCACCCUGAUCCUCGCAGCCUGCUCUGACCUCCUCCUCACAGGGGUCCUGCGGAGACGAGCUCCCCUGGACUCUGCAGCGCCGUCUAACCCGGCUGCGGACGGCGUCUGGGCACGAACCCGGCGGCAGUGCUGUCUGUGCCUCGAGGGUCAAGCUGCAGCACCUGCCCGCACAGGAGCAGUGGGAGCGGCUCUUGGUCCUGUACCCAACGUCCUUGGCCAUUUUCUCCGAGGAGCUGGACGGGCUUUGCUUCAAGGUGGGCCCCUCCCCACUGCAGGCCCGCCCCAGGGAGGCACUUGUGUGGGGGUGGGAGGGGGCGGCCAUGCAGGAGGAACCUGUAUUUCGGGACUUGUUGAGACAGAGCGCAGGGCCCUG
Molecule: small RNA, 534 nt
Filed under: Pongo abelii (Sumatran orangutan)
Lineage: Eukaryota; Metazoa; Chordata; Mammalia; Primates; Hominidae
Description: retained intron
Source: RNAcentral